UACGGGGGGUCCUAGCGUUGUUCGGAAUCACUGGGCGUAAAGCGUAUGUAGGUGGACUUGUAAGUCACAUGUGAAAGCCCCAGGCUUAACCUGGGAAGGGCAUGUGAUACUGCUUGUCUUGAGUACUGGAGAGGAUAGUGGAAUUCCUGGUGUAGUGGUGAAAUACGUAGAGAUCAGGAGGAACAUCGGUGGCGAAGGCGGCUAUCUGGCCAGAUACUGACACUGAGAUACGAAAGCGUGGGGAGCAAACAGG
RNAcentral lists this ribosomal RNA (253 nucleotides) under uncultured bacterium. RNAcentral describes it as "partial 16S ribosomal RNA". It matches the Rfam family "Bacterial small subunit ribosomal RNA", at positions 524 to 776 of the family's 1533-position model. The record is from RNAcentral.